RNAcentral lists this non-coding RNA (24 nucleotides) under Cricetulus griseus (Chinese hamster). Lineage: Eukaryota; Metazoa; Chordata; Mammalia; Rodentia; Cricetidae. The record is from RNAcentral.
GUGUGAGGUUGUGCUGAUUGGCAU